AACGCACAUUGCGCCCCUUGGUAUUCCAUGGGGCAUGCCUGUUCGAGCGUCAUCUACACCCUCAAGCUCUGCUUGGUGUUGGGCGUCUGUCCCGCCUCCGCGCGCGGACUCGCCCCAAAUUCAUUGGCAGCGGUCCUUGCCUCCUCUCGCGCAGCACAAAUGCGCUUCUCGAGGUGCGCGGCCCGCGUCCACGAAGCAACACAACCGUCUUUGACCUCGGAUCAGGUAGGGAUACCCGCUGAACUUAA
This 248-nucleotide unclassified non-coding RNA is filed under the name uncultured fungus. RNAcentral describes it as "partial contains 5.8S ribosomal RNA, internal transcribed spacer 2, and large subunit ribosomal RNA". The record is from RNAcentral. Lineage: Eukaryota; Fungi.